AACGCACAUUGCGCCCGUCAGUAUUCUGGCGGGCAUGCCUGUUCGAGCGUCAUUUCAACCCUCAGAACCCCUUUGGGGGAUCUGGUGCUGGGGAUCAGCCUCUCAGGACCGUCUCGCUUCCCCUCGGGCUGCGUCUCGGGCCUGGCUGUCCCUCAAAUACAGUGGCGGUCUGGCCGCGACUUCCUUGCGUAGUAAUUUCACCUCGCACUGAAGCUUCGCUGCCUUACCACGCCGUAAAACCUUUCGAGCCUCCCGGGGCGAGAAAAUUUAUCUUUGGUUGACCUCGGAUCAGGUAGGGUUACCCGCUGAACUUAA
This 315-nucleotide unclassified non-coding RNA is filed under the name Amanita sp. RNAcentral's name for it is "partial contains 5.8S ribosomal RNA, internal transcribed spacer 2, and large subunit ribosomal RNA". The record is from RNAcentral. Lineage: Eukaryota; Fungi; Basidiomycota; Agaricomycetes; Agaricales; Amanitaceae.